This is a non-coding RNA of Caenorhabditis elegans, 134 nucleotides long. Lineage: Eukaryota; Metazoa; Nematoda; Chromadorea; Rhabditida; Rhabditidae. The record is from Ensembl.
AGCAAAACACAGAUUUUUCGUUCAAACGUCGUUCAAUAAUUCAGCGCUCGUUAACUUGUCUUCUCUUGUUUCCGACGCGGGAAACAAGUAAUCUAAUACCCGUCUCCACGUUCUCUGUCAUGUGCUGAUCAUCG